This 314-nucleotide unclassified non-coding RNA is filed under the name plant metagenome. RNAcentral's name for it is "partial contains 5.8S ribosomal RNA, internal transcribed spacer 2, and large subunit ribosomal RNA". The stretch from base 1 to 105 matches the Rfam family "5.8S ribosomal RNA", at positions 50 to 154 of the family's 154-position model. The record is from RNAcentral.
GAAAUGCGAUAAUUAAUGUGAAUUGCAGAAUUCGGUGAAUCAUCGAGUCUUUGAACGCACAUUGCGCCCCCUGGUAUUCCGGGGGGCAUGCCUGUCCGAGUGUCAUUGUUGCCCUCAAGCACGGCUUGUGUGUUGGGCUUCCGUCCCUGGCAACGGGGACGGGCCCAAAAGGCAGUGGCGGCACCAUGUCUGGUCCUCGAGCGUAUGGGGCUUUGUCACCCGCUCCCGUAGGUCCAGCUGGCAGCUAGCCUCGCAACCAAUCUUUUUAACCAGGUUGACCUCGGAUCAGGUAGGGAUACCCGCUGAACUUAAGC